CUCAUCACAAUGACCGGGACGAGUAAUCUGCGUUGAUUUUCAGAGAGAAAUCUCAAUAGCUGAAAGAGAUUUCAAAUAAAUCAGAUGAAAACCACCCGCGAGUGAGCAGCUUGAACAGGUUUUUACCUCAAUAUGGCUGCCGGAUGACCCGUUACCGUCAAAAUGAGAUGGUUGGCAAGCCAACCAAACUGGGUGGAACCGCGUGAGUAAAACUCUCGCCCCGGAU
Molecule: non-coding RNA, 226 nt
Filed under: Leptolinea tardivitalis
Lineage: Bacteria; Bacillati; Chloroflexota; Anaerolineae; Anaerolineales; Anaerolineaceae
Description: T-box sequence
Rfam family: T-box leader
About the family: Uncharged tRNA acts as the effector for transcription antitermination of genes in the T-box leader family. T-boxes are found upstream of many aminoacyl-tRNA synthetase genes and some amino acid biosynthetic genes usually in Gram-positive bacteria. The anticodon of a specific tRNA base pairs to a specifier sequence within the T-box motif, and the NCCA acceptor tail of the tRNA base pairs to a conserved bulge in the T-box antiterminator hairpin.
Source: RNAcentral